Molecule: long non-coding RNA, 1592 nt
Organism: Oenanthe melanoleuca
Lineage: Eukaryota; Metazoa; Chordata; Aves; Passeriformes; Muscicapidae
Exons: 4
Source: RefSeq, a predicted model, not a curated record
UAGACAAAAAAAUGUGGGGGGAAAAGACAUAUAAUUUUUACAUUUAUAGAAGGAAUACAUUUUUUUCUCUGCAUGUAGUAAUUAGUGGUGCAAAUGGUCAGUAAGCAAUACUUCCCUACCUUAAUAGAAUAAAAUCUUUGGUUAAUUAGGAGAUUUAAACACAUAAUGAAUAUGUGAACUCUGCCAACUGUUCUAAUAGAGGCCGUCAGCUCAUUUAUAUUGUUAAUUGAACAAUUAGUAUUGCUGAAUUGCAAACCCACAGGAGACAGGAGGGCAGAACACGUUCCUGAGACACUGCGUUGCUCUGCUGGCACCAGAUAUCUGUGACCACAGGUGACUCCAUUGCCCUCCAGAGCCCUUCAACAACAUGGGUGGAUUUCAACCAUUAGGGAGAGAAAUUUAAAUGUGCAAAUAUUUGCAUUUUCCUAGACUGAUCAUAGUCCACCUCUUCAGAAAUAUCUCAGCACAUGAAGACUGACAGGUAGGAAAGGAUGACUGAAAGGAAGUUUCCUGCAAAAAACACUCUAACAUGCUCUUCAAAAUAGCCUGGAUUUGGACUUACUGCAGCAAAACCCUGAUCCGAGCCUCUUCUGGGAGCAUGUCUGAGGCAGAGAGAAAAACAAGACCCAGGAAUACUCCAGGCUAUCAGCACCAGGAAAUCCCACCACAGCUCAGCAGAAAUGACUGAUCACCUAUACAGAGAAAUCUCCAAUACUGGCAAAGAUAAUUGGCUGUAUUUGGAAGACAGCAGGAAGAAGUGCAGGUUAACUUUUCUGCUCAGAGAGAUUCUCUGCAAGUAUUCCUACUGUUUGGAAGGAGAGAAAGGUGAAUGGCAGUGCUGCUUCCCACACAUGGAAAGCCCAUCUCUUAUGCACAACGAGCAACAUGUGUUUUUCAGUCCAGAUGACUUUGUACUUUAGCCUGAGGAAAAACAACAAAGCCACAGUGAAAACAAACCCUUCAAAACCUGGGGUGGGGCAGAGUGUAUUUCUCACUUGACCUUUCUUGAAACCCUUCCCCCAGCAGAUGAGCUCCCACUGAGACUUAAACCAUGAACAGCAGACAAACAGAUGUUAAUAGCAUCUUCACUGGAACACUGUGCUGGUCCAGAGCUCCUGCUGAAAAUGCUACUGGGCUUUAUCCUCCCUCCUGCAGGCGUCUGUGCUAGUGCAGGCGUUCUGAAAGGAUUGCAAUUUUGCUGCAGGCUCAUGGCAUAGAAAAAACAGAGCUGUGAGGGAGAAAGGCCUUUGCUGAACAUCUCUCAAAAUAAGCUUAUUUAACAGUCAGAUGGGAAAAGACUGGUCUAUCUUUUCCUUCUUGCUUCCCAGACUUUGGAAUGCCCUGUGAUUUACAUUGCACUCAAACCCUCAGCACUGUUCACCCUCUUGGCAAGCUCCCCCCUUCCAUUCCAUUCCUGAUCUCCAUGCCUUUGAUUACAUUGAUUAAAAUAAAACCAAUAUAUCAGAGACCUACUGAAGCAGCUGAUUCCAAAUAUCCACAACAGCAAAAAUAAACAUUGGUGAAAAGCACCUGCAAUCAACAGAAAUAAAAUGAAAGCAAAAAAAAAGUAUUGUAUAAAAAUAAUAAAAAAA